UUCUGAGAACACAUUUAUUGUCAAAAAUCAAUACAGCAUACAGAUCUAACAAAAAUUGCCUCAGAAUAAUUUGAUCUGGUGGAUUUCUUGUUGGUUUCUCUCCCAUUCAUGAUGUAAAGCAAUCCCACAAAAUUAAAUACUAAGCCUACUAAUAAUGAUAAAGCCUUUAAUACGCACAGAAAAUUUUUAGUCCCAACAGAACAAGGAAUCCUUAUUAAGAUCUGUGCAUGUAGCAUAAACCUCCUUCUACAUUUCAGGGAACCAGACUGCAUCAAAACCUCUUUACAAUUCCAAUUUAUUCCAACGCCCCUUGAAAAACACAGAUAGAUCACCAAGUAAUACAGCAUCUUUAAAAACAGUUUCUUAGCUUAUUCUAUAUACAAUCUUCUUUUUCCUAAGGAAUAUGCACUGUUUUUGUAUUAGGAAAUGUUAAGAACAGUGAGCUAAAACCUCUGUGAAAAUCAGUGUCUCAUGAUAGAUCAAUCCGAGCUUGUAGAAAUAGGUUUACCUUAAAAGCAUGGAAGCACAAGAGCACUGGGGCCUGUGCUUAACUGACAGUAUUAUAAAUUUAUGGGCUAAAAACAUAUGCAGUUUAAAAAUUAAUCAUGUUAGAAGAAGAUUUCAAAUUAAUAGUUUGAAUUACUGUACUUUUCCCACAUGUCUGAAAUCCAUAGGUUAGAAAUCUUAUCUGAGAAAGAUUAAACCAUUUGCACUGAACUUAUCUCUACAUAUCUCUAAGUUCAAGACUGCCUGCACCCACACGCCAGAGGCACACAUGCCCCCUGAUCCAGUCUAAACUCAUUUGUCCUCUCCCUCAGUACCAACAUUUCCAGUCUGUGCACUAGAAAAGCCUCUCCCUUGUAGUUACUGCAAUCCACUUAUCUCCUGAUCUGUUUAUCAGUGCUCAGUACUUACACACAAAACAGCUAUGAUGGUGCUCACUAAAGGUCUGAUUGGUCGAAUAUCUUAUCUCCAGCUGAUAGCAGAUGCUCAUGGAAGCAGUACAAGAGUCAAGGCAAAGUGAACUUCCCUUGGUUUAUCCUCCUAGGAAGCAGUACAAGAGUCAAGGCAAAGUGAACUUUCCCUUGGUUUAUCCUCCUAGGAAGCAGUACAAGAGUCAAAACAAAGUGAACUUUCCCUUGGUUUAUCCUCCUAGGUUCUGGCAAUUGAUUCAAAGACUGCCUGAGCUGAAAAUUAGAUCUGGACCAUUGUGGUUUGAGGAGAUACAUGGUCUAUACUGGAGUUUUUUUGUAAGCCUUUUUCACAAUUUAGCUACACAAUUAAAGUUCCACAAUUUAAUUAUAUGAAGGUUGUUUUGUGAUGUCACAGGCUUGUUUCAUACU
This 1343-nucleotide long non-coding RNA is filed under the name Strigops habroptila (Kakapo). Its description in RNAcentral is "lncRNA (ENSSHBG00005014408.1)". The record is from RNAcentral. Lineage: Eukaryota; Metazoa; Chordata; Aves; Psittaciformes; Psittacidae.